Long non-coding RNA from Formica exsecta, 3606 nucleotides. RefSeq lists it as uncharacterized. Lineage: Eukaryota; Metazoa; Arthropoda; Insecta; Hymenoptera; Formicidae. The record is from RefSeq and is a predicted model, not a curated record. The transcript has 3 exons.
UUUCGCGUCCUCCUCCAACUUAAUGACACUUUGUCGGGCGUGACGGAUAUCGCGCGCGCGCAGAGCUUUCGAAUUGUCACGUGUAUCGCGCGCGAGAUUCUUCCUAUCGUAGUACGUGGCAUGCGUAUCGGGCGACUAAGCGGAAUACCUCGACGAUGAGACGACGACGAUGACACGCACGGUAUGCGCGGCCCAUCGGCGAGCCUGGCACCCACUAACCGCUAACCGGUGAACUAACCGCGGGUGGCUGGCUAAGGUACGCGGCUCGGCUCGCUCGCUCGCUCAUUCGCGAUGAUAAUGUAUGUAUCUAUGUGCGUAAGCCACGUGAGAGAACGGCGGGCAGCAGCAUCUUUCGACGGCCGUUCGUCGAGGAACGAGGGAGAGGGAGAGAGCGAGAGAGGGGAAGUCGUAUACUUCGCCCAUAAGAGAGAGCCGGUCUCCUUCUCUCUCUUCCUCUCCUUCUCUUUCUUUCGUUACAUACAUACACACACACACACACACACACACAUAUAUAUCUCGUCCCUCAGUCUCGUCACGGAUUCGUGGAGAGAUCGGACCCUCUUCGUGGCUUUCGGUCGCUCUUUUGGCCGACUUCUCUCGCGGAAUUAAUCGAAACGCACACAUACGCACACGUACAUGCACGUUAUAGUGAGAAAGAUGGCACGAAGCGGAAUAACUCGACGCGUAACCGCAACUCUUUUUCCUUUACAAAUUGUUCGAGCCGUUGUAACGUGUCAUGAGAGAAGACAAGAAGCCAAGGCAAGAAACGCGAGUAUCGAACGACUUUAAUAUACCAGGCGAUCGUUUUCGAAAAGCUCUCCUCUUUUCUCCUUUUCAACGGAUAUCGAUACUCGAUGUCGGCGAAUAAUUUUGACACUCCGUUAUACGCUCCGUUAAUCUCUUAAAAAAUUUGAUAACCACGUCUUAUUCAAUAUAAUUUAUUAGUAACGAUAAUUUACAUUUGAUAAAUUCGUACAAUAUAUGAUCUACGUACGCACGCGUUUUGUUUUUCUCUCUUUUUUGCGUGUGUUCCUAAAAAAUAAAAUUUUUAUUAUCAAUUCUCCCUUCGUAGCGAGGCAUAAGAUAGAAAAGAAGGAUUCUUCAUCUCGUUCCAAUUUCCUCCGAUAUCAAUCAGGGUUUCCUUUUCUCGAACGUCGCCGUGACUUUGGUCUUUACCUCGCGAGAUAAUUAACGGGGCCGGCUUUUUUUAUUCGCCACCCUGUAGAUCCACGCUGCGUUCUCACUCGCGUGGCAUAUCUCUCAUCGACGAGGUCCGAUGAAGGUCGCACGAACUAACGCGAAAGAACGCCUCUCCUGCCCGAAACCACGGUAUAGUUUAAUGCACACGCUUGUGACAUUCACGGUGCACGCGUACUUUCGGAAUUCACGAAAGAGAGAGAGAGAGAGAGAGAGGAGCAAGUCCGUAAUUUGUAAGGUUCAACCUUAUGUUAGACGAGACCGUGUGUGUGUACGACACGCGCGAUUAAAGAGCGCCGGGACCCUGUAAAUUACGGGCAUCGUAAUUUGGAAAUAUGGCGCCAGAUAAUUUAUACACAGAUACGGCUUUAAAUAAUGCUCAUUUGAACGAAUCUUAUGAAGUUCGAGAUUUAUGGGACUCGCUUCUCAAUUAUCAUCAUUGUUUCGCUAAUAGAAUUCGAUGUAAUAUUCAACAGCGGCGAUCCGGCAUGAUCGUAAAAAAGCUACUGCCCGGAGGCUGCGCCCCAUUUAUGGUUAAGGCAGUCCCGCGCAAAUAAGCGCGACCUUCCUCGCAGGAGGAAGUACGCAGGUACGGCAUGCGUUUUCGGCGCCGGCUCGGAUUCCGUUCGUCGCCUUUUUGGCGAAUCGGUGCACACCCACGUCUUUAUACCCGGUGACUGAGAAAAUACUAUAUAAUGUAUGUACGAUCUUCCGAGAAUUGGACGAGAUUUCGUCUGCGUGAAACGUUCAUGGAUCGACAAGAAGACGCGAGAACCGGCGGCGUUAAUUAAGGUCGGUCGAGCGCGCAGGAAUAUAUAGGCAGAUUUUAUCGUCGGCCAUUAUGGCUUAGAAUACGACAGAGUCCGGCUACGGCAAUACGCAACGACUCCAUUAACGGACAGGCCAAUCCGCAACGACGCGACUCCCCGCGUUCAGGAUUCGUUAAAACGCAAGUUGGAGAAAAACAUCUCGACGACGCGAGAUAUUUAUCUCUCCUUUUUUUCCUUCUUAUACUUUCCGCGAGCUUUUAUUUUGCCGGCGACGCGAGUCUGUACGCGGAUGAAGAUGGCGGAUACUACGAUAAUUUAUUAACUAGUCCGGCGAGUUGGUUCCCCGGACCUGUUGGUGGAGUCUCGACACCGGCUGGUUUCGCGCCCAGACGAAAUCGCAGCGAGAUGCGAAAGCGUUUUAUCCGCUCGAGCAAACCAUCCCAUUCGUCUUUUAUUCUCGCGUGUUUUGCUCGACAUAUUUUUGCGCGCGAUUUAAUUUAUACCUAAUCGAGAUUGAUAACCGAUAUUAUCCGCGCAUCUCGCACGAGGCGUUUUACAUAUGCAAAUGCGACGAGGCGUACACGAGAGUUACGGAGGUUUCUCACCGGAAUUCGAAUUCAACGCGACCUCGUGCGCGUUGCGAGAGGGGAAACACGACAAGUAGUAAUGAUCGUAAUAAUGUCUCGCCAAGCGACAGCGUACGGUUCGUACGGUAAAGAGCAAAGUUCAGCGUUCCUUCGCCGUUUUACUUCUUGAAGCGGCGAUCUCUGCGGAUAGUUUUUGAAAAGCGUUAUGAAUAUACAUGCUAUGUUAAGGAUGCCGAUCGUUUCAUCCACGAUCAUGACAUAAAACUUAACGGAUUUAUCUAAUUAGAAAAGGCGAUUUAAAAGUGAGAAGAAAAAAAAUAUUACACACGUGUAUACAGAUGCGGAAAAUAUUCUCCGCUUCUUAUUCAAUGUCACGAUAGUGGCAUAUAUGUUCUUCAUUCUGAGAGAAUUAUUUUUCAAAAGAAUUUAUUCUUCGCUACUUAACAUGUACGUAUUACCAAGAACGAUCGACAAUCUAAGGUCAGCUUGGUUUUUGCGCAAAGCAAUCUAGCGUGCAGUAUCCAUAAUGCAUCAACAAGUUUUUAUCAUUCGCUCUCUGAGAUUCGUAUCUCGUAGUGCGUUUUGCAUACGCGACGAAUUCAGCUGGUGCACGAGAAGGAUGCGCGGCGAGAAAACUGCGUCACGCGGUAUCUGACAAAUAUAUAUAUAUAUAUACACACAUAUAUCUCGCUGACAAGCGACGCAUCGAGCAUAAUCUCACGUAAUUGACUGCAUAAAAUUCAUAAUUACAUAGCCUGGACGUUUAUAUGUUGUACUUGGGCUUUUAUGUAACUAUGCGCGCAACGUGGACUUUAACAGUCAGUCGAGAUGCAUGUGCGUUGCGUGGAACAACGCGUAUAAGCAUUACGAUCGAUAGGAUAUAGACGUCCGGGAUAUUUGAUCCGCAAUUACAUUAAAAAAAAAAGAGAUAAAAGAAAGGGAGGAUGAAUUAAAAAACGUUAAUACUUAUUUUCGACAAGAAUACGCGCGUCGUAAAAUUACGACAUCUCUGAAUCUUCGACAUCUAAUCGAUUAAUCGUUUAUUUUAAUUA